Anguilla rostrata (American eel) is the source of this 576-nucleotide long non-coding RNA. RefSeq lists it as uncharacterized. NCBI's taxonomy places the organism in Eukaryota, Metazoa, Chordata, Actinopteri, Anguilliformes, Anguillidae. The transcript is spliced from 8 exons. The record is from RefSeq and is a predicted model, not a curated record.
CGAAUCUUGACUGAGGACCCAAGUGGUUAAGUAUAAAUGCUUAACGUGAAACGUCCAGCCUCCUUCUGGUCCCGCUGGUCCGCAUGAUGACGUGGAGACGUCAAGAAACUGUUUUUCACGAUGAACAGCGCCGCAGACUGGACCGGGAUGGUAGUCAAACUGGUGGAUGCCAGGAAUGGGGAAAUUCCACCCCCACUGCAGGGAACUGCGUUCCGAGUUCGAAUGUGGAGAAGUCCAGGCAGCUCUGUUUUGAUGGAAGGAUGAGUCUACCCAAAACAAAAAAAGCAUGAAGCUGCCUCCUGUCAGUGUGUCACUGAUUUGAACCAAGAUGCCAGUGGAGAGGCACCCCUGACGAGAUGCUUGGCCUGGUUGAAAGAUGUGGAAGCACGUUGGAGUCGGUCUGGAGUGAUUUGGUGACCAUCCCUCACCUGAUCUCUAUAGGACUCGCUCGUCCCCUGGAACCCAGGAUUGGAGCUCCUGCUUCGGUCGUCCGCUGGCCGCGCACGGAAAGCAGAGACGUGAGCUGGGAGAACUGAACUUACUUUUAAAAAGCAAUAAAAAUCAGAUUUUGAAACU